Molecule: long non-coding RNA, 941 nt
Organism: Macadamia integrifolia
Lineage: Eukaryota; Viridiplantae; Streptophyta; Magnoliopsida; Proteales; Proteaceae
Exons: 2
Source: RefSeq, a predicted model, not a curated record
CCUAACUGCAACGAGGUGUUCUCUUUCCCACUUUCAAUCUAAUCUUCUGUCUUCAUCCAAGCCCUUUCCAUCUUCAAUUCAUCCUCUUCAUCGUCUUCAUCUGCACAGAAGGUUCGAUCGACUGUGUGAGAAGCAACGGAAUCCUUGCGAAGUUGACGGAACCUCUAGACGACGAUGGCAUCUUCGUGAACCUCACAGAAGGUUCGAUCGAAUGUGUCCUUGCUGCGAUUUCCCUUUGAAUUGUGAAUUGGUCAGCAAUAUAUUUGACUUCUUUAGGGUAGGUAGAGACAGUCAUAUCCCCCUUUGAAGUGUUUUGAAGCUGCAUAUGCAACUGGAGGAUACUCGUGUGAGAUAGAGUUCUAAAGGCCGAUUGAAGAGCAGUCCAUACCUCAGCAACAGUGGUGAGUCCGACGACAUAAGGUAGCACAUCAGGUGUUAGAGAAGCAAGUAAAUAGCUCAUCACGGUCCUUGUGAACCAAUCCACAUAUGCCGGAUUGGCUGUGACGGUUCUUGAGUAGGCGAGAGUGAUAACAGGUGAAGGAGAAGAAGAGUUGCCAUCAACGAAUCUUAGAAGGUCAUGGCUGCGAAGAAGCAGGUACAACUGCGUGCACCAGAGAAGAAAGUUAUUAGGUGAAAGUUUCAAGGUAAUAUGAUGUUGGAAGUUCGGGUAAGAUGAUGGCAUGGGGGAGGAGAGGGAAGAAGAGGUAGCAGAGAUGGUGGCAAAGGAUGUAGAUAUGAUUCCCAGAUUAAAGACGCUAGUCGUCUGAUACCAUGUAAAGACAAUAAGAUUGGAUUUGAAAAAUUCUUUCCUUGAUUUUUGAGGAGGAUUGUAUUGAUUUAUAUAGAAUUAGAAAGGGAUAAGUUACAUAGGUUUUAUUGUUACUGCUAUACAGCUAUAAAGACAGGAUCAGCUAUAAAGAUAGGAUAAGAUUACAUGGUCA